AUUUUGAUACAGGCAUGCAAAGUGAAAUAAUCACAUCAUGGGGAAUGGGGUAUUCAGCCCUUCAAGCAUUUACCCUUUAUGCUAUAAACAAUCCAGUUAUACCCCUAGUUAUUUUAAAAUGUACAGUUAAGUGAUUGUUGACUAUAGUCACUCUGUUGUGCUGUCAAUAGUAGGUCUUAUUCAUUCUUUUUUUAACAAUAUUGAUUCUUCCAGUCCAUGAACAUGGAAUAUCUUGUCAUUUUUUGGUGCCGAUAUUGAAUUUUAUCAAAUAUUUUUUCAGCAUCAAUUGGAGUGAUUAUUGUUUUUAUCUUUCACUCUGUUGAUAUGAUGUAUCACAUUGAUUUGCAUAUGUUGGACCAUUUUUGCAUCCCAGGGAUAAAUCUUACUUGGUCAUGGUGAAUGAUAUUUCUAAUGUAUUGUUGAAUUUCGUUUGUAGUAUUUUUUUUGAGAAUUUUUGCAUCAAUACUAAUCAGAGCUAUUGGCCUGUAGUUUUCUUUUUUCUGAUGUGUCUUUGUCUGGUUUUGGUAUCAGGGCAAUACUGGCUUCAAAGAAUGAGUUUGGAAGUAUUCCCUGCUCCUCUAUUUUUGGAAGAGUUUGAGUAAGAUUGGUCUUAGUUCUUUAAAUAUUUGGUAGAAUUCAGCAGUGAAGCCAUGGGUUCCAGGCUUUUCUUGACUGGAAGACUUUUUAUUAUGGCUUCAAUCUUGUUACUUAUUAUUGGUCUGUUCAUGUUUUAUACUUCUUCCUGGUUCAAUCUUGGUAGGUUGCAUGUGUCUAGGAGUUUGUCCAUUUCUUCUAGGCUUUCCAAUUUACUGGCAUACAGUUGCUCACAGUAGCUACUAAUGAUCCUUUGAAUUUCUGCAGUAUCAUUUGUAUUAUCUCCUUUUUCAUUUCUGAUUUUAUUAAUUUGCAUCUUCUCUCUUUUUUCUUACUCUGGCUAAAGGUUUGUCAAUUUUGUUUAACUUUUUAAAAACCCAACUUUUUGUUUCAUUGCUCUUUUGUACUGUUUUCUUUAUUUCUACUCUGAUCUUUAUUACUUCUUUUCUACUAAUUUUGGAUUUGGUUUGCUCUUGAUUUUCUAAUUCUUCAAGAUGUAUCAUUAGAUUAUUUGAAGUUUUUCCUCUUUUUUGAUGUAGACACUUAUGUCCAUAUACUGCCCUCUUAAUACUGCUCUCGCUGUAUCCAGUAGGUUUUGGUAUGUUGUGUUUCCAUUAUCAUUCAGGAGCAUAUUGUUGCAUUUCCAUGUUUUUGUAUGGUUUCCAAAAUUCCUCUUGUUAUUAAUUUCCAGUUUUUUCAUUCAUGGUCAGAUAAGAUGCUUGAUAUGAUUUCAAUUUUU
This 1333-nucleotide long non-coding RNA is filed under the name Homo sapiens (human). RNAcentral describes it as "non-protein coding lnc-C6orf201-2:4". The record is from RNAcentral. Lineage: Eukaryota; Metazoa; Chordata; Mammalia; Primates; Hominidae.